ACCAGGUGUGGUGGUGCACACCUGUAAUCCCAGCCGCUGGGAGGCUGAGGCAGGAGGAUGGCGAGUUGAAAACCAGCCUCAGCAAAGAGCAAGGCACUAAGCAACUCAGUGAGAGCCUGUCUCUA
RNAcentral lists this small RNA (125 nucleotides) under Marmota monax (woodchuck). Lineage: Eukaryota; Metazoa; Chordata; Mammalia; Rodentia; Sciuridae. The record is from RNAcentral.